AUGCCCCCCACGACGAGCCUCCCCCUGGCGCAGCGCGGCCGCCACUCGCCGCCGGCGCUGGUCGACGACGCCAUGAGGGAGAUCUUCCUGCGCGUCCCGGCGGACGACCCCAAGACCCUCGUCCGCGCCGCCGCCGUCUGCACGACCUGGAGCCGCAUCCUCUCCGACGUCAUCUUCACCCGCGAGUACCGCGCCUUCCACGGCGCGCCGCCCAUGCUGGGCUUCCUCCACAACACGCACCAUGAGAGGUCGUGGGGGAGAGGGAGGAUCAAGCAGCACGAGGAGUACCUGGUCUCCAGCUUCGUCUCCACCGCCUCCUUCCGCCCGCCGGCCUGCCACGAGCGCCGCCACUGGCGCGUCCUCGACUCCCGCCACGGCCUCGUCCUCUUCCACACCCCUAAGAGGGACGAGGACUUCGUCAUCUGUGACCUCGUCACCUACGACCGGUGGAGGAUCGACGCCGCCCCCGAGUGCGCGGAAAUCAUAUGGAGUCAUCAGGAUGAAGACCAUGAUGAUGAUGAUGAUGAUGAUGAGGAGGAGGAGGAGGUUGAGGGAGUAACCUGGAAUGCUGCAGUGAUCUGUGCCAAGGAUGGAUGCAACCACCUCUACUGCCAUGGCGGCCCUUUCCUUGUGGCCCUCGUCGGCUCCGACGAGGAUCAGGGGAUCACCUUUGCAUCCGUAUAUUCAUCAAAGACUGAUGAGUGGAGCGACAUGAUCUCCAUUGAGGAGCCGAAUGCCAUCGAGAUGACUGGGCAAAUUGGUGUUGUUGGAAAUAAGGUCUACUUCCAAUGUGAAUGUACCCAAAAUGUUGUGGAGUACAACAUGGGCGAUGAAGAACUAUCGGUGAUUGAUCCAAUAUUUGAAGACGAUAAUAAGGACAUACAGGCCAUUGGACUCUUGGGGAUGGAGGAUGGCAUGUUGCUGUUCGCCGCCGUGCUGGAGCCUAAACUCUACCUAUGGUCAAUGGAGGCUGGCUCCAACGGAGCUGCGGCAUGGGCACAGCGCAGAGUCAUUGAGCUUGCACCGUUGCUCCCUUCUCGUGCCCUCUUGGAUGUGUCAGUGGUUGGUUUUGCAGAAGGUGUUGGUCUCAUCUUCCUGAAUACAGAGGCUGGGUUGUACACAAUUGAGCUCAACUCAGGCCGAAGCAAGGAGGUACAUAGAGCCACAUCUUUCAAAAGGGUCAUGCCCUACACGAGCUUCUACACUAGAGCUAGAGUUGAAGUUAUUAAGGGACAAAGUGUGCUCCUCUUGUGCUCAUCGGAUCAACUUAUGAAGCUUUGUUUUCUUAUGGCGCAUCUUGGGGGCGAAUGCCGACCUCUGACUAAGCUUCCUGUUGGUGCUACUGCUACAUCAGUAUAA
Molecule: ribosomal RNA, 1359 nt
Filed under: Triticum aestivum (bread wheat)
Lineage: Eukaryota; Viridiplantae; Streptophyta; Magnoliopsida; Poales; Poaceae
Description: partial small subunit ribosomal RNA
Source: RNAcentral